Molecule: ribosomal RNA, 253 nt
Filed under: uncultured prokaryote
Description: partial 16S ribosomal RNA
Rfam family: Bacterial small subunit ribosomal RNA
Source: RNAcentral
UACGUAGGGACCGAGCGUUGUCCGGAAUCAUUGGGCGUAAAGAGCGUGUAGGCGGCCAACUAAGUCCUGCGUGAAAUCUCGGGGCUCAACCCCGAGCGGUCGUGGGAAACUGGUUGGCUAGAGUGCGGGAGAGGAGAGUGGAAUUCCUGGUGUAGCGGUGAAAUGCGCAGAUAUCAGGAAGAACACCCGUGGCGAAGGCGGCCCCCUGGUUGGAUACUGACGCUGAUACGCGAAAGCGUGGGGAGCAAACAGG